This 432-nucleotide ribosomal RNA is filed under the name uncultured bacterium. RNAcentral describes it as "partial 16S ribosomal RNA". It matches the Rfam family "Bacterial small subunit ribosomal RNA", at positions 29 to 506 of the family's 1533-position model. The record is from RNAcentral.
AACGAACGCUGGCGGCAUGCCUAACACAUGCAAGUCGAACGAGACCUUCGGGUCUAGUGGCGCACGGGUGCGUAACGCGUGGGAACCUGCCUUUAGGUUCGGAAUAACUCAGAGAAAUUUGAGCUAAUACCGGAUGAUGUCUUCGGACCAAAGAUUUAUCGCCUUUAGAUGGGCCCGCGUUGGAUUAGCUAGUUGGUGGGGUAAAGGCCUACCAAGGCGACGAUCCAUAGCUGGUCUGAGAGGAUGAUCAGCCACACUGGGACUGAGACACGGCCCAGACUCCUACGGGAGGCAGCAGUGGGGAAUAUUGGACAAUGGGCGAAAGCCUGAUCCAGCAAUGCCGCGUGAGUGAUGAAGGCCUUAGGGUUGAAAAGCUCUUUUACCCGAGAUGAUAAUGACAGUAUCGGGAGAAUAAGCUCCGGCUAACUCCGU